This 519-nucleotide ribosomal RNA is filed under the name uncultured eukaryote. RNAcentral's name for it is "SSU rRNA". It matches the Rfam family "Eukaryotic small subunit ribosomal RNA", at positions 1161 to 1699 of the family's 1831-position model. The record is from RNAcentral.
AGGGCACCACCAGGAGUGGAGCCUGCGGCUUAAUUUGACUCAACACGGGAAAACUCACCCGGCCCGGACACUGGAAGCAUUGACAGAUUGAGAGCUCUUUCUUGAUUCAGUGGGUGGUGGUGCAUGGCCGUUCUUUGUUGGUGGAGUGAUUUGUCUGGUUAAUUCCGAUAACGAACGAGACUCUAGCCUACUAAAUAGAUCGUCGGCUUACAAACGCCGGCGAGACUUCUUAGAGGGACAGGCGGUGAUUCAACCGCACGAAACAGAGCAAUAACAGGUCUGUGAUGCCCUUAGAUGUCCGGGGCCGCACGCGCGCUACACUGAAGUGAUCAGCGUGCUUUUUCAACCUACUCUGUCAAGAGUGGGGAACCCAAUGAACCUUCUUCGUGAUUGGGAUAGGGGAUUGUAAUUAUUCCCCUUGAACGAGGAAUUCCCAGUAAGCGCGAGUCAUAAGCUCGCGUUGAUUACGUCCCUGCCCUUUGUACACACCGCCCGUCGCUACUACCGAUUGAAUGUUUU